Molecule: long non-coding RNA, 376 nt
Organism: Onychomys torridus (southern grasshopper mouse)
Lineage: Eukaryota; Metazoa; Chordata; Mammalia; Rodentia; Cricetidae
Exons: 3
Source: RefSeq, a predicted model, not a curated record
CCAGGAGCAUGCUCUUUAACGCAUCCAUUAGCACUCCGGAAAUCCGCGGGGUGUCAGGAUUCAGUCUGAGAGGGCUCAGUAGACCUAAAGUUGCUUUCGCUGCUGUUGUCUUGCUGCUUGGAGGUAGCGGGAAGAUUCUCAUCCGGGAAGUUCUUACAAAGAAACUACUGUGUCGCCAUGGGAAACUAGUUUAACGAGCUUUCCCCUGGAGACGUCUUAUUUUACCUUCCAGACUGCUCCCUCAGCCGAAAACGUGAUUGGACCUAACUCACGAAGGAAGAUUGAAAGCAUUACUGCCUGGAAGGCACUCAGGACUGCCUAGAAUAAACUAAAUAUAAUAGAAGCUUAAUCUGCCAGCACCAAAAUGUUUUUGCUG